GAAGGGAUAGCUCAGUGGUAGAGCAUUCGACUGCAGAUCGAGUGGUCCCUAGUUCAAAUCCGGGUGUCUCCUUCU
Molecule: transfer RNA, 75 nt
Filed under: Trichonephila inaurata madagascariensis
Lineage: Eukaryota; Metazoa; Arthropoda; Arachnida; Araneae; Nephilidae
Description: tRNA-Cys
Rfam family: tRNA
About the family: Transfer RNA (tRNA) molecules are approximately 80 nucleotides in length.
Source: RNAcentral